Molecule: ribosomal RNA, 496 nt
Filed under: uncultured bacterium
Lineage: Bacteria
Description: partial 16S ribosomal RNA
Rfam family: Bacterial small subunit ribosomal RNA
Source: RNAcentral
AUGAACGCUGGCGGCGUGCCUAAUACAUGCCAGUCGAGCGAACAGACGAGGAGCUUGCUCCUCUGACGUUAGCGGCCGACGGGUGAGUAACACGUGGAUAACCUACCUAUAAGACUGGGAUAACUUCGGGAAACCGGAGCUAAUACCGGAUAAUAUAUUGAACCGCAUGGUUCAAUAGUGAAAGACGGUUUUGCUGUCACUUAUAGAUGGAUCCGCGCCGCAUUAGCUAGUUGGUAAGGUAACGGCUUACCAAGGCAACGAUGCGUAGCCGACCUGAGAGGGUGAUCGGCCACACUGGAACUGAGACACGGUCCAGACUCCUACGGGAGGCAGCAGUAGGGAAUCUUCCGCAAUGGGCGAAAGCCUGACGGAGCAACGCCGCGUGAGUGAUGAAGGUCUUCGGAUCGUAAAACUCUGUUAUUAGGGAAGAACAAAUGUGUAAGUAACUAUGCACGUCUUGACGGUACCUAAUCAGAAAGCCACGGCUAACUACGUG